UAAUAAUAUAAAAGGUAAACUCGAACGACGGACAAAAGCUACGCUAGGGAUAACAGUCUAACACGCCCUUAGAGUUCCUAUCGAUGGGCGUACGAGGAACCUCGAUGUUGGAUCAUCGCGUCCUGUGGCUGCAGAAGGUCAUAAGGGUUGGAUUGUUCAUCCAUUAAAGCGGUACGUGAUCUGAGUUAAGAACGUCAGCGUGAGACAGUUCGGAUUCUAUCUUUGUUAGUAAAGGCAAAUACACAAAAACCGCCUGAGCAACUAAAGCCUUUGAGAGCGAGUACGAAAGGACCAAUCUCUUGUAAACCUCUGGUGAACUUGUUGUCUAAAUUCCGGCAUAGCAAGAAAGCUACGUUUAAUUAGGCUAAAUUGCUUUUUUUCAAUUACAUCGAAUGUGCUUUGUUUGAAUAAGCAAAAGAUUUUUAUAAUAUAAAAAAUUGU
This 441-nucleotide ribosomal RNA is filed under the name Eudorina sp. 2006-703-Eu-15. RNAcentral describes it as "LSU rRNA". It matches the Rfam family "Bacterial large subunit ribosomal RNA", at positions 2427 to 2856 of the family's 2925-position model. Lineage: Eukaryota; Viridiplantae; Chlorophyta; Chlorophyceae; Chlamydomonadales; Volvocaceae. The record is from RNAcentral.